UACGGAGGAGGCAAGCGUUAUCCGGAAUUAUUGGGCGUAAAAGCGUCCGCAGGUGGCACUUCAAGUCUGCUGUCAAAGACCGGGGCUUAACCCCAGAAAGGCAGUGGAAACUGAAGUGCUAGAGUGCAGUAGGGGUAGAGGGAAUUCCCGGUGGAGCGGUGAAAUGCGGUAGAGAUCGGAAAGAACACCAACGGGCGAAAGCACUCUGCUGGGCCGACACUGACACUGAGAGACGAAAGCUAGGGGAGCGAAAUGGG
This 257-nucleotide ribosomal RNA is filed under the name uncultured bacterium. RNAcentral's name for it is "partial 16S ribosomal RNA". It matches the Rfam family "Bacterial small subunit ribosomal RNA", at positions 524 to 777 of the family's 1533-position model. The record is from RNAcentral.